Long non-coding RNA from Larimichthys crocea (large yellow croaker), 792 nucleotides. RefSeq lists it as uncharacterized. Lineage: Eukaryota; Metazoa; Chordata; Actinopteri; Sciaenidae. The transcript is spliced from 4 exons. The record is from RefSeq and is a predicted model, not a curated record.
CACACCCCCUUCUCAGUGAGCUCACACUGCGGGGCAGUUGCAGCACACUAAAACCCCCCCUCUUGGCAUUUUCUGGUGAUUCCUGCACAACAGUUAGACUCACUCACUUUUUUGAGCUGUCUAACUGACGAAGACGUCCCAUCUGCAGCUAGGCGUUCGGAGGACCGGAACAGGACAGGACACGCACAAACCUUGACACCACACAACAGCACCACAGACAUGUCGGACUCCGAGACAGCCGCUGCCCCCACCGAGGCCCCCGUCCCUGCUGCUUGUGCCAGCAUCAAGGCUGACCUGGACAAAUGUGUGGCAGAGAAGGGAGGCGAGGGCUGCAAAGAUCUGAUGGAGGCCUUCGCUGCUUGCGUGAAGAGUGCAGCUGAGGGGACGUCAUGAGGAGUCGCCCUCCAACCUCUAAUGUCCACUGCACUGAGUCCUCCAAGUUCCCAGCAUUCCCUUCUGCACAACAACACUGGACUGAAUGAUGACAACGAUGAUGAUGAUGAUGAUGAUGCUGUUGAUGAUGGCGUGACAAACAUUGUGUUGAUUCGGGCUGAAUUUGGGAUCUGGCGGCAGUAACCAGUCUCCUCCCCCCUGUCCUCCCCCCUCCUGUUUUAGGUUUAUCUGGUGUCCCUCAGUCUUACCACCAUUCCCCUUCUCCCUCUACGUCUGAUAUACAGCUCAUCGACUUGUAGACAAUUCCAGAGAGCUGAUGGGCUGUGAUGUAAAUUGUCGACUUGAGAUGAAAACUUAUAAAUGGAAAUAAAAGUAUCAAGUAAUUGGUAUAAAAAUAAA